Molecule: ribosomal RNA, 497 nt
Filed under: uncultured bacterium
Lineage: Bacteria
Description: partial 16S ribosomal RNA
Rfam family: Bacterial small subunit ribosomal RNA
Source: RNAcentral
GAUGAACGCUGGCGGCGUGCCUAAUACAUGCAAGUCGAGCGAACGGACGAGAAGCUUGCUUCUCUGAUGUUAGCGGCGGACGGGUGAGUAACACGUGGAUAACCUACCUAUAAGACUGGGAUAACUUCGGGAAACCGGAGCUAAUACCGGAUAAUAUUUUGAACCGCAUGGUUCAAAAGUGAAAGACGGUCUUGCUGUCACUUAUAGAUGGAUCCGCGCUGCAUUAGCUAGUUGGUAAGGUAACGGCUUAUCAAGGCAACGAUGCAUAGCCGACCUGAGAGGGUGAUAGGCCACACUGGAACUGAGACACGGUCCAGACUCCUACGGGAGGCAGCAGUAGGGAAUCUUCCGCAAUGGGCGAAAGCCUGACGGAGCAACGCCGCGUGAGUGAUGAAGGUCUUCGGAUCGUAAAACUCUGUUAUUAGGGAAGAACAUAUGUGUAAGUAACUGUGCACAUCUUGACGGUACCUAAUCAGAAAGCCACGGCUAACUACGUG